GAUAAACGCUAGCUACAGGCUUAACACAUGCAAGUCGAGGGGAAACGACAUCGAAAGCUUGCUUUUGAUGGGCGUCGACCGGCGCACGGGUGAGUAACGCGUAUCCAACCUGCCCACCACUUGGGGAUAACCUUGCGAAAGUAAGACUAAUACCCAAUGAUAUCCCACGAAGACAUCUGAAUGGGAUUAAAGAUUUAUCGGUGAUGGAUGGGGAUGCGUCUGAUUAGCUUGUUGGCGGGGUAACGGCCCACCAAGGCAACGAUCAGUAGGGGUUCUGAGAGGGAGGUCCCCCACAUUGGAACUGAGACACGGUCCAAACUCCUACGGGAGGCAGCAGUGAGGAAUAUUGGUCAAUGGGCGAGAGCCUGAACCAGCCAAGUAGCGUGCAGGAAGACGGCCCUAUGGGUUGUAAACUGCUUUUAUAAGGGAAUAAAGUGGGUCACGUGUGACUUUUUGCAUGUACCUUAUGAAUAAAGACCGGCUAAUUCCGUG
RNAcentral lists this ribosomal RNA (492 nucleotides) under uncultured bacterium. Its description in RNAcentral is "partial 16S ribosomal RNA". It matches the Rfam family "Bacterial small subunit ribosomal RNA", at positions 28 to 507 of the family's 1533-position model. The record is from RNAcentral.